RNAcentral lists this transfer RNA (76 nucleotides) under Gammaproteobacteria bacterium. Its description in RNAcentral is "tRNA-Phe". It matches the Rfam family "tRNA". Rfam says of the family: Transfer RNA (tRNA) molecules are approximately 80 nucleotides in length. Their secondary structure includes four short double-helical elements and three loops (D, anti-codon, and T loops). Further hydrogen bonds mediate the characteristic L-shaped molecular structure. tRNAs have two regions of fundamental functional importance: the anti-codon, which is responsible for specific mRNA codon recognition, and the 3' end, to which the tRNAs corresponding amino acid is attached (by aminoacyl-tRNA synthetases). tRNAs cope with the degeneracy of the genetic code in two manners: having more than one tRNA (with a specific anti-codon) for a particular amino acid; and 'wobble' base-pairing, i.e. permitting non-standard base-pairing at the 3rd anti-codon position. The record is from RNAcentral. Lineage: Bacteria; Pseudomonadati; Pseudomonadota; Gammaproteobacteria.
GGCCAGGUAGCUCAGUUGGUAGAGCAGGGGACUGAAAAUCCCCGUGUCGGCAGUUCGACUCUGUCCCUGGCCACCA